RNAcentral lists this ribosomal RNA (317 nucleotides) under uncultured eukaryote. Its description in RNAcentral is "partial 18S ribosomal RNA". It matches the Rfam family "Eukaryotic small subunit ribosomal RNA", at positions 1470 to 1796 of the family's 1831-position model. The record is from RNAcentral.
CCCUUAGAUGUCCUGGGCCGCACGCGUGCUACACUGACACCUGCAACGAGUUAUUCCAGCUCCGAAAGGCAGUUGGUAAUCAGAAAUAGGUGUCGUGAUGGGGAUAGACCCUUGGAAUUAUGGAUCUUGAACGAGGAAUGCCUAGUAAGCGCACGUCAUUAGCGUGUGCUGAUUAAGUCCCUGCCCUUUGUACACACCGCCCGUCGCUCCUACCGAUUUCGAGUGGUCCGGUGAGCCUUUUGGAGAGUGAGCGUCCUUGAGGCGCUUGCUCGAAGUCAGGCAAAUCUUACUACUUAGAGGAAGGAUAAGUCGUAACA